RNAcentral lists this ribosomal RNA (497 nucleotides) under uncultured bacterium. RNAcentral's name for it is "partial 16S ribosomal RNA". It matches the Rfam family "Bacterial small subunit ribosomal RNA", at positions 28 to 507 of the family's 1533-position model. The record is from RNAcentral.
GACAAACGCUGGCGGCGUGCCUAAUACAUGCAAGUUGAGCGCUGAAGGUUGGUACUUGUACCAACUGGAUGAGCAGCGAACGGGUGAGUAACGCGUGGGGAAUCUGCCUUUGAGCGGGGGACAACAUUUGGAAACGAAUGCUAAUACCGCAUAAAAACUUUAAACACAAGUUUUAAGUUUGAAAGAUGCAAUUGCAUCACUCAAAGAUGAUCCCGCGUUGUAUUAGCUAGUUGGUGAGGUAAAGGCUCACCAAGGCGAUGAUACAUAGCCGACCUGAGAGGGUGAUCGGCCACAUUGGGACUGAGACACGGCCCAAACUCCUACGGGAGGCAGCAGUAGGGAAUCUUCGGCAAUGGACGAAAGUCUGACCGAGCAACGCCGCGUGAGUGAAGAAGGUUUUCGGAUCGUAAAACUCUGUUGGUAGAGAAGAACGUUGGUGAGAGUGGAAAGCUCAUCAAGUGACGGUAACUACCCAGAAAGGGACGGCUAACUACGUG